RNAcentral lists this ribosomal RNA (468 nucleotides) under uncultured bacterium. RNAcentral describes it as "partial 16S ribosomal RNA". It matches the Rfam family "Bacterial small subunit ribosomal RNA", at positions 28 to 507 of the family's 1533-position model. The record is from RNAcentral.
GACGAACGCUGGCGGCGUGCUUAACACAUGCAAGUCGAACGGAAAGGCCCUGCUUUUGUGGGGUGCUCGAGUGGCGAACGGGUGAGUAACACGUGAGUAACCUGCCCUUGACUUUGGGAUAACUUCAGGAAACUGGGGCUAAUACCGGAUAGGAGCUCCUGCUGCAUGGUGGGGGUUGGAAAGUUUCGGCGGUUGGGGAUGGACUCGCGGCUUAUCAGCUUGUUGGUGGGGUAGUGGCUUACCAAGGCUUUGACGGGUAGCCGGCCUGAGAGGGUGACCGGCCACAUUGGGACUGAGAUACGGCCCAGACUCCUACGGGAGGCAGCAGUGGGGAAUAUUGCACAAUGGGAGGAAGCCUGAUGCAGCAACGCAGCGUGCGGGAUGACGGCCUUCGGGUUGUAAACCGCUUUCGCCUGUGACGAAGCGUGAGUGACGGUAAUGGGUAAAGAAGCACCGGCUAACUACGUG